AGAUUGAACGCUGGCGGCAUGCCUUACACAUGCAAGUCGAACGGCAGCACGGGAGCAAUCCUGGUGGCGAGUGGCGAACGGGUGAGUAAUGCAUCGGAACGUGCCCAGUCGUGGGGGAUAACGCAGCGAAAGCUGUGCUAAUACCGCAUACGAUCUAUGGAUGAAAGCGGGGGACCGAAGGCCUCGCGCGAUUGGAGCGGCCGAUGUCAGAUUAGCUAGUUGGUGGGUAAAGGCCCACCAAGGCGACGAUCUGUAGCUGGUCUGAGAGGACGACCAGCCACACUGGAACUGAGACACGGUCCAGACUCCGUACGGGAGCAGCAGUGGGGUAAUUUUGGACUAAGUGGGCGCGAAGCCUGACUCC
Molecule: ribosomal RNA, 364 nt
Filed under: uncultured soil bacterium
Lineage: Bacteria
Description: bacterial SSU rRNA
Rfam family: Bacterial small subunit ribosomal RNA
Source: RNAcentral